GAUGAACGCUGGGUGGCAGGCCUAAUACAUGCAAGUCGAACGAGAAAGUUUCUUUCGGGAAGCGAGUAGAGUGGCAGGACGGGUGAGUAACACGUGCGUAAUCUACCUUGUUCUGGGAAACAACCGUGUAAUAGCGGCUAAUGUCCCAUGUUGUUUUUUUUCGUAAAGGAAAAGAAUUAAAGCUCCGGCGGAACAAGAUGAGCGUGCGUCCUAUUAGCUAGUUGGUGAGGUAAUGGCUCACCAAGGCGAUGAUGGGUAGGGGUUCUGAGAGGAAGGUCCCCCACACUGACACUGAGAUACGGGUCAG
RNAcentral lists this ribosomal RNA (307 nucleotides) under uncultured bacterium. RNAcentral describes it as "bacterial SSU rRNA". It matches the Rfam family "Bacterial small subunit ribosomal RNA", at positions 28 to 334 of the family's 1533-position model. The record is from RNAcentral.